GAUGAAGAACGUAGCGAAAUGCGAUACUUGGUGUGAAUUGCAGAAUCCCGUGAACCAUCGAGUCUUUGAACGCAAGUUGCGCCUCAAGCCAUUAGGUUGAGGGCACGUCUGCCUGGGCGUCACAUAUCGUUGCCUGAUGCCAGUUUCCUCGUGAUGGGUGACUGUGCAGGGCGAAUGAUGGCUUCCCUUGAGCAUUGUUGCCUCAUGGUUGGUUGAAAAUUGAGUCCUUGGUAGGGAGCGCCGUGAUAGAUGGUGGUUGAGUGACGAACGAGACCCAAUCAUGUGAGACCCCUACCGAAUUUGGCCUUCAUGACCCACAUGCGUCUUUGGAACGCUCAUGACGAGACCUCAGGUCAGGCGGGGCUACCCGCUGAGUUUAAGCAUAUCAAUAAGCGGAGGA
This 400-nucleotide unclassified non-coding RNA is filed under the name soil metagenome. RNAcentral describes it as "partial contains 5.8S ribosomal RNA, internal transcribed spacer 2, and large subunit ribosomal RNA". The stretch from base 1 to 122 matches the Rfam family "5.8S ribosomal RNA", at positions 35 to 154 of the family's 154-position model. The record is from RNAcentral.